GAUGAACGCUAGCGGCAGGCUUAACACAUGCAAGCCGAGGGGUAUAGUAGCAAUACUAGAGACCGGCGCACGGGCGCGUAACGCGUAUGCAAUCUACCUUUUGCAGGGGAAUAGCCCAGAGAAAUUUGGAUUAAUGCCCCAUAGUAUAAUGUCUUGGCAUCGAGAUAGUAUUAAAGUCACAACGGCAAAAGAUGAGCAUGCGUCCCAUUAGCUAGUUGGUAAGGUAACGGCUUACCAAGGCGACGAUGGGUAGGGGUCCUGAGAGGGAGAUCCCCCACACUGGUACUGAGACACGGACCAGACUCCUACGGGAGGCAGCAGUGAGGAAUAUUGGACAAUGGGCGCAAGCCUGAUCCAGCCAUGCCGCGUGCAGGAUGAAGCAUCUAUGGUGUGUAAACUGCUUUUGUACGAGAAGAAACACUCCAACGUGUUGGAGCUUGACGGUAUCGUAAGAAUAAGGAUCGGCUAACUCCGUGCCAGCAGCCGCGG
RNAcentral lists this ribosomal RNA (489 nucleotides) under uncultured bacterium. RNAcentral's name for it is "bacterial SSU rRNA". It matches the Rfam family "Bacterial small subunit ribosomal RNA", at positions 28 to 520 of the family's 1533-position model. The record is from RNAcentral.